Acinonyx jubatus (cheetah) is the source of this 3451-nucleotide long non-coding RNA. RefSeq lists it as uncharacterized. NCBI's taxonomy places the organism in Eukaryota, Metazoa, Chordata, Mammalia, Carnivora, Felidae. The record is from RefSeq and is a predicted model, not a curated record. The transcript has 3 exons.
UGGAAAGCACCUCUCAGGACCAUUUCAAGAAAAACAAACUGUGAGGUUUGCUUCGGAUCUACUUCAUGUGAAUCAUCAGCGCUCGCUCCAACAGCAGACCAGAGGCCCGUCAGAGCUUUAGGACAAGACUGGGGCGUCUGCGAGGGUACGUGGCUUGAGCAAGGCUCCUGCACUCCCGUUGCCCCACACACCCCCUCGUUCGCUGGCCCCCUGCCCAGGCCUCUGCCCAGAUGGACGCAGAACUGCACAGUCAGCAGACAAGAACUUUCAAGGCGUAUUGUUGUAAGGCUUACCACGUUGGCAAAUUCAACAGGAACAUUUUGAACUCAGACGGUUCCUUUCACCCAGAAAUCCCACACCGUUUGGUUCCCCACCAACGCUGCGUGCAAAGCCUCUUGCUAGCCCUCCGGGGCUCCAUCAGCCUGCAGCAGCCGGCCGUGGAACGAUGCUGCACGACUCCUAGUCCGGAACUCUCCACCAGCCCUCCUGCGCAUCCUGGGAACACUGGCUGUUGACACACGAAAUACUGAGGCAACCUUGUUGAUGCUCUUGGCCCUCUACUUGGGUGAAUGUGCCUUUUCAAAAUCAAGAUGUGCUGGGGGGGGGGGCGGUUCUUAAUAAAAAAAUAUAUGAAAAUAUCCCCACACAGAAAGGAAUAGUGAGAGUGACCAUAUAAAAACAAUUUCAGCUGAAAAAAAUAACACGGUUUCCCACCAAGUCCCAAAGAGAACCUAGGUUUCCAUGGGAUGUUCAGGAGGUGUAGAACUUCUAGCCGUGGGUGGGAUGGGACGCUUGCUGCCUGUCCAAAUAAGCAAACAUCCUCCCUGAACCCAUAUCCGUGCCCCACAUGCCGUGGUUCCCAUUUGCUUCCUGUUUUCGGCCCUCCCAAAAAUACAGCUCACAGGCGUUUUAUUUUCAUCUCCUCACCUUGAAAAGCACAGAUCUGCCAGAGUGUGUCUGUCUUCGCAGGGAAACAAACCCAGCAGGCAUUCAAGACACUCAGGCGAGAAGAAAUGCAUCCCAUCGGAAAAUUUCCAUCGCCAGCAUUUUUUUGUUUUUAAUUUCCAAGAUAAAUGGGGUUUUACUUAUAAGAAGACCAAGGGCUCCAUUAUCUUUCAAACACUGUGCUGCUUCCAAGGAGCCGAGAAAAUUGGUCAUGCACCUGGCCAGCUGAUCCAGCCUCAAAAAAUCUUCCGACCUUAAUGAAAAGGGCCUAAUUUUUCCUCCCCUUUAAUAAAUGUUUCUUUGCUUCUUCCCAGCGAUAUUCAGCAUGUGGGGCGGGCAGGCAGAAUGCCCAGUUCGUGCAAAUGGGCAGGCACACCUGAUUCACCAGGAUUCUUCCCACUGCCUCUAAUCCAGGGGACCCUGCUCCAGAGGGCUUGGGAAGGGGAGCAGAUAACUCCGCCCCCCAUCUCCAGAGGGCCAAAGAACCAGUACAUUCCGAUGUGGAUUUGAAGGUUUACCUGUGCGUGUGCGCAUGGGUGUGUUAGCAGACCAAAUUCUUAGAGGCCGCUUGAAGGUGUCAUAAAAGAUAAUUCAGGUGGAAAACUCCCUGGAAAAAAAAUUCCCCUGCUCUCCAGAUGCCUGCGUCCUGACCUCCAGAACCUGGGAGAGAGUAGCAAGGAUUUGGAUUGGGGCCUACGGGCAGAAUUUGCAGGUCUGUUUCCCAAAGAAUAAAUCGCAGCCCCUCAGGCUGGAACAGGCAGGUGCUGUGAAAUCUGGCUGACGGGUCCACUUCAAGGUGAUCUGCCUGCCAUGUCUUCUCUCUGUUCAGCUAAUCUCCCGGCAGCCCCUUGGUGCCUGGUAAAGUAAAUCAUUCUGACUACGUGUAUGAAACGGGAGGCUCUUUGCACACCUGUAAUUACUACCUGACAAGUCUCUGCGGAACCUGGGAGUUUCCCAGAGGGCCAGAGGGGCCACUUCUGGAGGGGGUAAGUCAAGGUGGGUCCUCCAGGCAACAUCUGGCGAGAGGAACCAGAAUUCAAGCCUACAGAACUGGGUUUUUACAGUUUUUUACAGGUCCUUACAGAACUUCUGUUUUAUUGCAUGGCUGAGAGACUCAGAGUCAAAGUCCGCAGGCUCCUAAGCCGUGAUAAACCCAGCCGAGAUGGUCACCUAUACCUGUAAACGUCUCAAAAUAAAUAAUGCAUAAUUCCCUUAAAGCAGCACCGUCCCACAGAAAUAUAACGUAAGCCACGUUAAGUCAUUUAAAUUUUCCAGAAUGGACGUUAAAAAAAAAAAAAAGGAACAAGUAAGAUGAAUUUUAUUUUUUUAUUUAUUAUUUUUUCUUUUUUUUUCAACGUUUUUUAUUUAUUUUUGGGACAGAGAGAGACAGAGCAUGAAUGGGGGAGGGGCAGAGAGAGGGGGAGACACAGAAUCGGAAACAGGCUCCAGGCUCCGAGCCAUCAGCCCAGAGCCCGACGCGGGGCUCGAACCCACGGACCGCGAGAUCAUGACCUGGCUGAAGUCGGACGCUUAACCGACUGCGCCACCCAGGCGCCCCUAAUUUUAAAUGAUGUAGCUCAAUUGACAAAAAAUCUUAUCGUUCUCAUCAAUAAAUAUAAAAAACUAUUUGCUAUAAAUAUCAAAACUGGGGCGCCUGGGUGGCUCAGUCGGUUAAGCAUCCGACUCUUGGUUUCGGCUCAGGUCAUGAUCUUGCAGUUGGUGAGUUUGAACCCCGUAUCAGGCUCCACGCUGAGAGUGUGGAGCCUGCUUGGGAUUCUCUUUCCCUCUCUCCACCCCUCCCCUGCUUAUGCUCUCUCUCUCUCUCAAAAAUAAAUAAAUCAACUUUAAAAAAUAUAUAAAAAUCAUCAGUGAGAUAUUUCACAUUCUUUUGUCCCACAUUCCAGGCUUGGAAAUCCGAGAACAUGUUAUAUUUAUGUCACAUCCGAGUUUGGACUAGCCACAUUUCAAGUCCCAAUAGCCACAAGGGACACAGGUACUGCGUUAGACAGUAGUCUCAGAAGGUGACAUUUCUACCUCGCAUUUCGACUUCCCACAAACACUUCAUAUACAACAAAAGAAACUGCGAUACACGACAUUUUAUUUGACUUAGAGUCCUAGCGCUCUUAAUAACAUGAGAAUUUCUAAAAGUUUCUUUUGACUAGCACUAAGUAGGUCUGAAGCCCAGACUUGGCCGGCACUUGUCUUUCAAAUAUUGAUAACUGCAAGCAAGUGCACAUGACUUAGACUCAUCGUUUGGGGCCUCUGGCAAUAGAGAAAGAAAGAAAACCAGAUUCCCACCGCUCUACCCCUUAGGGCCGUUCACCCACGUUCAGCCGAGCACAUAGGUGCUGUCUGCCUGGGGACGUUGGGCACAAAGACUGCUCUCAAGGAAGGCACCGCUCGAGUGACAUCCAAGCAGUGGGAGAAGGCCUAAGGGUGCAUGCGCCCGAGCGGCGAUGGCCAGCAGGUGCUUCCCCUGGGAGUCUGCCGGAUGGGAGACUCUCGG